CCUACGGGAGGCAGCAGUAGGGAAUCUUCGGCAAUGGCCGAAAGCCUGACCGAGCAACGCCGCGUGAAUGAAGAAGACCUUCGGGAUGUAAAAUCCUGUUAUAAGGGAAGAAAGGUGAUAGGAGGAAAUGACUAUCCAUUGACGGUACCUUAUGUGAAAGCCACGGCUAACUACGUGCCAGCAGGCGCGGCAAUACGUAGGUGGCAAGCGUUAUCCGGAAUUAUUGGGCGUAAAGAGCGCGCAGGUGGUUAAUUAAGUCUGAUGUGAAAGCCCACGGCUUAACCGUGGAGUGUCAUUGGAAACUGGUUGACUUGAGUGCAGAAGAGGGAAGUGGAAUUCCAGGUGUAGCGGUGAAAUGCGUAGAGAUAUGGAGGAACACCAGUGGCGAAGGCGGCUUCCUGGUCUGCAACUGACAUUGAUGCUCGAAAGUGUGGGUAUCAAACAGGAUUAGAUACCCGGGUAGUC
This 465-nucleotide ribosomal RNA is filed under the name uncultured bacterium. Its description in RNAcentral is "partial 16S ribosomal RNA". It matches the Rfam family "Bacterial small subunit ribosomal RNA", at positions 338 to 795 of the family's 1533-position model. The record is from RNAcentral.